Physcomitrium patens is the source of this 2448-nucleotide non-coding RNA. The record is from RefSeq and is a predicted model, not a curated record. NCBI's taxonomy places the organism in Eukaryota, Viridiplantae, Streptophyta, Bryopsida, Funariales, Funariaceae.
GUUUGUUUGUUUGUUUUGUUUGUUGUAGGUGAGCUUUCCUGCUGCAUAGGCUUUCAUCUCGCUCCAGGCAGUUGGCGAUGGAGCCCCAGCGACGUUGCUGUUGUUGGUCCUUAUGAUUAUUUUUUUUCAAAAAGAAGUUUGGUUGAGUUUUCAGCUUGCAUGGAUCAUCAUCAGCAGCUACUGAUACUGUUCUUGCUGUUGUCAUGAUUCUUGUGACCAUCUCACGAUGCCGGACGCUGUCAUUUAACUGAGAGAGUUUUGGGUGUUUCCGUUUCCUUUGGAACAGUUUACAUGAAAAUUUUGCUGAGGGAAGUUGUGGGUGACAAUCGUGUGGAGGCGGGGCAAGAGUUUGCGGUCAUUGCUGAAGAUUCUUUCUCUGGAGCUGCUGUGUGCGGGCUGUUUUUUGAGUUUUUGAAUUCUAUUUUCUUUAUUUUGUUUGUUCUUUUGUUUUUUCUGCGGUGGUACUGGGCAAUUGGCUGGUUGGUAUGAAAGUGUGGACGAAGGAGAGGGCGUUGAGUUUAAGGCAGUGGAGUUGCGGUGAUCGAUGUAGUGAGCAUCGAUGAGAUGAAUGUUUCGGAUUGUCUCAAAAUUUGCUUCUGGCGGUGGAAGUACUGAAAUUACUUGGACACGAAGGACAGUGUUUUUACAAGCAGAUAUGAAGCGGAAAGCGACCGCGAGUCCACGAUGGAGGUGGAAGUUUGGGGGGUUCCUCUUGAUGGGGACUCUCUUGACUUUAUUCAUGUUGGUUCACCUCCAAACAUUGUUCGGACCCGAUGCAUCUGACGGUGCUAACACGGUUCCAGUUGUAACCAGUUUUGAAGGUCAGCAGUUCAGCCUGAACAGGACGAAAUCGAAGCUAGCGUUCAUGUUUCUUACAGGUCACAACAUGGCUCUGGACAUCUUGUGGAAUCAAUUUUUUGAGGAAGUCGAAGAACAUGAAUAUAGUGUUUACAUUCAUGCAAGGCCUGGCUACUCGUUCUCAAAAGGGAAUACAAUCUGCCGCUCGUUCAUCAAUCGUCAGCUGAAUAACUCUAUACUAGUAGAGUGGGGAGAGGCGACCAUGAUUCGAGCUGAACGACUGCUAUUAACUGAAGCACUUCAAGACCCCUUGAACCAGAGGUUCUUCCUUCUUUCUGAUAGUUGCAUCCCGCUCUAUAAUUUCACACACAUCUACAAUUAUGUGAUGUCCUCUCAGAAGAGCUUCGUUGACAGUUUUGUUGACAAGAACGAUGAUCAGUAUAAUAUCCUUAUGGAGCCCGUUAUUUCUGAAGAUAAAUGGCGCAAAGGAUCUCAGUGGGUUGCCCUUACAAGGAAGCAUGCUGAGGUCAUUGCAGGAGAUUCAACGGUUUUCCCCAGUUUUGUCGAUCACUGCAAGAAGAUAAAUCUGUCAGAUAAUUGGAAGGGUGAUCCUAUGAAUAAUGAAACCAUUGGUCGUCAUAACUGUAUACCAGAUGAGCAUUACAUUCAGACACUGUUGGCGGUAGACCCCAUCUAUGCCUUACGACAUUGCCUUCGGCGCACUCAUCCUUAACCUUUUACCCAGAAAAUGUUUUCGUAUCCAGAGACUCUGAUAGCUGAAACUGGAAUUGUAUUUUUGUGCUUAUCUGAAAAUGGAUGUAUAUUUAUUUGUGCAGAUCAAGGGUUUGGAAGGAGAGAUUGAGCGUCGAACUUUAACAUUCAGUCGGUGGGAGAACUCUGCAAAAGACCAAGGUCAAAAUGGCUGGCAUCCUGUAACGUUCAAAUUUGCCGAUGCAACCGUUCAGACCAUCAAAGAAAUUCAGGCAAUCACAAAUGUUCGUUACGAAAUUGAGUCACGAACUGAGUGGUGCAGCGCUGGGGGGCAUCGUCGGCACUGUUUUUUAUUCGCCAGGAAGUUCACACGGGCAGCUGCGUUCCGGCUUAUUGACCAAGUUGAUCAAUACAAAUCCAGCGACCCUGACCUUGCGGAAUAGCUGGUGGUUUGAAGUUCACUUUCACUCGGAGCUGGGUAAAAGUAUCCCAGCCGUGAAUGCAAAAGGGCUACAGCACUGCGCGGUUUGCAAAGCAUUUUGUGUUGGCAGAAGAUGCUUGAGCGUCUUGCCACCAGUUUCUCAACUUCCAAUUUUGAUUCCUUAGUGCCCAAAUCAUUGUUUGGUUAAACCACAUCAAUCGAAGAGUUUUGGACUCACAGCAGCUAUCUGAGCUGAACCACUGUAGCUAGACAAUUUUGACUAGUUUUGAAAGGGCGUAAACAGGUAAUUUGCCGGUAAAGUGUAGCUGCCACUUUCUCCACAUUUCACUUAACUUCACUUCAUGAGCCAAAGAGCACAACUUAGCUCAGUGGACACGUACAACCGUUGCUACUGCUUUCGUCAAAGCGGCUUGGUAGUUUGGAAGUAUACUUCUCAGGGGGUUGUAGAAGUGAGACUUGCUGAAGUUUCUUGAGUAAAUUUACUUGUUUACGUGCCA